GGCCAGGCGUGCGCAGCCCGGCGGCGUCGGGCUGGGCAGGUCAGCGGGGCGGAGGGCAGCAGGCCCGGCGCGGAGCGUGCAGAGCUGCCCGGCCUGAUUAUGUGCAGAGCGUGUUCCUUCACUCCCUCGGUCUCGUACGCUGCUGAGAGAGGUGUAAACGGAGCGAGGGGCUCGGUAGGGGCCGGGAGGCGUUCAUUCAGAGAGGGAAUUUGAAACGGUGCUCCACAGCCCUCAUUCCGUGGAAGAGAGGGUUGGUGUCGCGCUCUGUUUGACAGGCCGCCUCCAAACUCUCGCCCAGCUUUUUAUUUUUAAUCUCCCCUAAGUCAGGAUGCCGCAGUUUGACAGCCGUGAGUCAGUGUGAAUCCAAGCUCUCCUCCUGUGUGGGCUGUUGGAAAGGAGGUCCCAGCCGCAGAUGCUUCGAGGCUGAGGCAGCAGCAGCGGCACUUUAGCUUCAAGACCGUGAGGGUGACACGGGGAUGUCUGCAACAGGCUGAGCAAUGCGGCUGCGGCAGGUUGUCCCUGUGCCUCGGUGAAAACAGGACGGAGAGGAAAAUAUGAAAGUGAGAAUUGCCUCUUGCCACCUGGAAAGAAAAAUGUAGCCUCUGCUACAAAGGCCAUACUAAGGUGUCAAAUAUAUGAUGACGGGCCACGCGUGGAAGGCAAAGAUAGAUGCAGGGCCCAUCUAAAGAGGAAGCUGAAGAGUGUUGCAUGGUACAAGUGUGUUGGUCAGUGCAAAGCUCCUCUGCUUCAAGAAAUGUUGCUUGUUCUCAAGGAUGAGACAGACACUUCGAAAGCUGGAUUCCUGUAGUAAUGCCUGAAGAGUCAAGAUAAAACCAAGGAGACACAUACACUAUUGGAUUCUUGUUGACUGCACAGGAACAUUACUUGGCUUUGUGAUUAAAUCAUUCUGGGGAUGGGGAUGCUGUCGCUGAAAAAGCACCUGUUAUAAACUACAUUUGACAGGUAAUAAAAUUGAUAUUAUCAGUUGAAGUCA
This 994-nucleotide long non-coding RNA is filed under the name Manacus vitellinus (golden-collared manakin). RNAcentral's name for it is "lncRNA (ENSMVIG00005009279.1)". The record is from RNAcentral. Lineage: Eukaryota; Metazoa; Chordata; Aves; Passeriformes; Pipridae.